CAACAACAAUCAGGAAGCCUGCAAAACAAAACACAAGCCUGGAGGACAGCUAUCUUUAUUUCAACCAAACCAUAGUUGCUGAUUGCUGGAACAGUUGAAAGACUAACCAAGACGUGUUUGGUGGAGCCCGGAGAGCGGGGAGGGAUGGCUGUCCACGUAAAAAACAGAAGCAAGGGGCCGCUGGGAGACAGAGAGGAAGAAACCUGAGGGAGUCACAACCACACACACAAAUGGAUGCCCUCUUCACUCACACCUGAGGAACCAGGAGCACCGCACGUUUCAAACCCGGCUCAGCGGUUGCAGAGAUGCUAAAAGAAGCGAGCAGACGGAAGGAAAGAGUGAG
This is a long non-coding RNA of Sebastes umbrosus (honeycomb rockfish), 343 nucleotides long. RefSeq lists it as uncharacterized. NCBI's taxonomy places the organism in Eukaryota, Metazoa, Chordata, Actinopteri, Perciformes, Sebastidae. The transcript has 3 exons. The record is from RefSeq and is a predicted model, not a curated record.